Long non-coding RNA from Castor canadensis (American beaver), 1916 nucleotides. The record is from Ensembl. NCBI's taxonomy places the organism in Eukaryota, Metazoa, Chordata, Mammalia, Rodentia, Castoridae.
GAGGCCCUGAGUUCAAACCCCAGUGUCACCAAAACAAGAACAACACACACACACGGUUGGGGGCGGGGAGAGAGGGAGAGAGAGAAUAGCUUGGCUUUUGGUCUCUGAAUCUCUUUUAGGGGGAAUGGAGACUGCCAGAUCUGGAGUCAGAAGGACUAGACCCAGAAUACUAACUUUUCUACUGAGCUGUGUCACCUCGAGGAACUUGCUUGUCCAUCCAUAAAAUGGGUGUAGUAAAGGUGGUACCUCCUCCUUGGGUGGCUGUAGAGUUUUUUUUUUUUUUUUAAUUUCUUUUAUUCAUAUGUGCAUACAAUGUUUGGGUCAUUUCUCUCCCCUUCCCUCUGCCCCCUCCCUUUCCCCCCACCCCUCUCCCAGCUGUAGAGUUAUGUGAGAUGAUGUAUACAAGGCCCAGAGCAAGGGCUCAGCGAAGAGGAGCAGCAGAAUGCUGGCCUGGUCUUCCUCUGCCAAGUGUGGAGCCAUCAGCAGUGUCCAGCCCUUCUAGGCCUGUCUGAAACCCUGCAGGGCCAGCUGUUCUCUUGCAACCUGCCCUGGGAACCAGAGUGCUGCUGUGAACAUUCCCAUUUCUGACUGGAAACACACAGACAGUGAUAUGAACCUAGGAGGGGAAUUGCUGGUUAAGUUGUUUUCCAAAUUGACUGAAGAUCUGUCUUUCAUGCAAGAAUUUGUCUGAACAAAGGGUUCUGCAGCUAAAAUUGGCUUGAACUCCAUGAUCCCUUUUGGCUCUGGAAAUCCUAUUGGAUCUGGAACAACCAUCACUGUGGGAAGAUCUCCAUCAGCGUUUCUGUGUAAACCCUUUCCUGUUUUUGUCUUGAAAGACCCUGUUUGGAAGAGUCAGGUAACAUCUAGAGAAAGCCUCCUGUAUUUGAUGACUCCUAUUUGGAGUGUGUGUGUGUGAGAAAUUAUUGCUACCAUUUUACAGAUCAGAGAACUGAGGCUCACACUGAUUGAGACUCGCCUAUGAUCACAUAGUAAAUAGCAGAGCUAGAGACUGAACUCCAUGCCACCUGGCUCCAGGGACACAGUUUCGUACCACACACUUCCUCGUAGUCUCCACAGUGUGCUCAGAGAUGACACCAUUUAAAAUUUUCCAGACCACAAUUUCCCCUCAAGCAUUCAGGCAAUUGUUUUCCUUCCAGACCCAACUGCUGAGACUCUCCUUGUCUCAUGCCUUUUCUCCAUUUCUCUGAGGUUUGCUAGCUCUUUCCCUGGCUCCUCUGCAGUCUGCAGGAGUUCAUUUUUCUCUCAUCUCUUUCCAGAUAUCAGGAUUUCCAAAUCUUUCAGUUGGUUUCUUUUUUUGGCUGUGGUCCUUUAUUUUUGGAUACUUUCCAAAGCAGCCACAGAUUGGAAGAUGAUAACAGUGAAUUAGUUAGUAGAUCUUCUUUGAUGUUAUUUUGUGGGGGAACUCAUUAAUUUAUGACAAAAACAUCAAAGAGCUGGGCUCCUGCAUGGGACUAGGUUGUCCCAAGGCAUCUGGAUAAUAAUGAUUAGUCAGAUUAAAUCUCAAAGGCCUCUCGGCCUCAAGAGUUACAGUCCAGAUGACUGGGGUGUGGGAACAUCCCACCCUAUAGCAUCCCAUACCAGCUUGAGUCAGCAUGGUAUGGAACUCCCCCCACUCUUCAUGGCUUCCACUUUGAUGCCUCCAAGACUUGAAGUCCAGUAAAGGUUGUUGUAACCACCCUGGGGGCAAGGUAGGGAAGGAGGCUGAAGCUGUUAAAGUCUCUUCUGUCAGUGGAGCCAGAUGUUAAAAUGAAGCCCUUGUCCUUGCAUAGGUGAUCUCAAUGCCUUUUAUAGCAUCCUUGUCCUGUAAUGACAAUGGGAAGACAUUUUCCUGGGCUACACAGGAAAGAGGCAGCACCAUACCUGGCAUUUGGCAAGCCUUCUAUUCAUACAGAUUU